UGACUCUCGGCAACGGAUAUCUCGGCUCACGCAUCGAUGAAGAACGUAGCAAAAUGCGAUACUUGGUGUGAAUUGCAGAAUCCCGUGAACCAUCGAGUUUUUGAACGCAAGUUGCGCCCGAAGCCAUCUGGUUGAGGGCACGUCUGCCUGGGCGUCACG
RNAcentral lists this ribosomal RNA (159 nucleotides) under Axiniphyllum durangense. RNAcentral describes it as "5.8S ribosomal RNA". It matches the Rfam family "5.8S ribosomal RNA". From Rfam's summary of the family: 5.8S ribosomal RNA (5.8S rRNA) is a component of the large subunit of the eukaryotic ribosome. It is transcribed by RNA polymerase I as part of the 45S precursor that also contains 18S and 28S rRNA. The record is from RNAcentral. Lineage: Eukaryota; Viridiplantae; Streptophyta; Magnoliopsida; Asterales; Asteraceae.